AGUGGCGGACGGGUGAGUAACACGUAAGAAUUUGCCUUUAGGAGGGGGAUAACAACUGGAAACGGUUGCUAAUACCCCAUACGCUUUCGAGUGAAAUGGAUUUCCGCCUAAAGAGAAGCUUGCGGCUGAUUAGCUUGUUGGUAGGGUAAUGGCCUACCAAGGCGACGAUCAGUAUCUGGUUUGAGAGGACGAUCAGACACACUGGAACUGAGACACGGUCCAGACUCCUGCGGGAGGCAGCAGUAGGGAAUUUUCCGCAAUGGGCGAAAGCCUGACGGAGCAAUACCGCGUGAGGGAUGACUGCCUAUGGGUUGUAAACCUCUUUUUUCAGGGAGGAACAAAAUGACGUGUACCUGAAGAAUAAGCAUCGGCUAACUCCGUGCCAGCAGCCGCGGUAAGACGGAGGAUGCAAGUGUUAUCCGGAAUUACUGGGCGUAAAGCGUCUGUAGGUGGCUCGAUAAGUCAACUGUUAAAUCUUGAAGCUCAACUUCAAAAUCGCAGUCGAAACUAUCGGACUAGAGUAUAGUAGAGGUAAAGGGAAUUUCCAGUGGAGCGGUGAAAUGCGUAGAUAUUGGAAAGAACACCGAUGGCGAAAGCACUUUACUGGGCUAUUACUGACACUCAGAGACGAAAGCUAGGGUAGCAAAUGGGAUUAGAUACCCCAGUAGUCCUAGCCGUAAACAAUGGAUACUAGGUGUU
RNAcentral lists this ribosomal RNA (699 nucleotides) under uncultured diatom. Its description in RNAcentral is "bacterial SSU rRNA". It matches the Rfam family "Bacterial small subunit ribosomal RNA", at positions 94 to 824 of the family's 1533-position model. The record is from RNAcentral. Lineage: Eukaryota; Bacillariophyta.